Molecule: ribosomal RNA, 460 nt
Filed under: uncultured bacterium
Lineage: Bacteria
Description: SSU rRNA
Rfam family: Bacterial small subunit ribosomal RNA
Source: RNAcentral
AGAAUCAACGCUGGCGGCGUGCCUAACACAUGCAAGUCGAACGAGAAAGUGGAGCAAUCCACGAGUAAAGUGGCGCACGGGUGAGUAACACGUGACUAACCUACCCUUGAGUGGGGGAUAACCUAGGGAAACCUGGGCUAAUACCGCAUGAUACCUACGGGUCAAAGGAGCAAUUCGCUUAAGCGAGGGGGUCGCGGCCGAUUAGUUAGUUGGCGGGGUAAUGGCCCACCAAGACGAUGAUCGGUAUCCGGCCUGAGAGGGCGCACGGACACACUGGAACUGAAACACGGUCCAGACUCCUACGGGAGGCAGCAGUGGGGAAUUUGCGCAAUGGGGGAAACCCUGACGCAGCAACGCCGCGUGGAGGAUGAAGUCCCUUGGGAUGUAAACUCCUUUCGAUCGGGACGAUUAUGACGGUACCGGAAGAAGAAGCCCCGGCUAACUUCGUGCCAGCAGCCGC